GCCUCGUUAGCGCAGUAGGCGGCGCGUCAGUCUCAUAAUCUGAAUGUAGAAAUCUGAAGGUCGUGAGUUCGAUCCUCACACGGGGCA
Nematostella vectensis (starlet sea anemone) is the source of this 87-nucleotide non-coding RNA. The record is from Rfam. Lineage: Eukaryota; Metazoa; Cnidaria; Anthozoa; Actiniaria; Edwardsiidae.